CAGCAGCCGCGGUAAUACAGAGGGUGCGAGCGUUAAUCGGAUUUACUGGGCGUAAAGCGUGCGUAGGCGGCUUCUUAAGUCGGAUGUGAAAUCCCUGAGCUUAACUUAGGAAUUGCAUUCGAUACUGGGAAGCUAGAGUAUGGGAGAGGAUGGUAGAAUUCCAGGUGUAGCGGUGAAAUGCGUAGAGAUCUGGAGGAAUACCGAUGGCGAAGGCAGCCAUCUGGCCUAAUACUGACGCUGAGGUACGAAAGCAUGGGGAGCAAACAGGAUCAGAUACCCGUGUAGUCCCUGUCUCUUAUAC
Molecule: ribosomal RNA, 301 nt
Filed under: uncultured bacterium
Lineage: Bacteria
Description: partial 16S ribosomal RNA
Rfam family: Bacterial small subunit ribosomal RNA
Source: RNAcentral